UCCAAGUUUGUAAGGACCUGAAGGCCCUGGG
This 31-nucleotide non-coding RNA is filed under the name Mus musculus (house mouse). Lineage: Eukaryota; Metazoa; Chordata; Mammalia; Rodentia; Muridae. The record is from RNAcentral.